Heterocephalus glaber (naked mole-rat) is the source of this 873-nucleotide non-coding RNA. The record is from RefSeq and is a predicted model, not a curated record. NCBI's taxonomy places the organism in Eukaryota, Metazoa, Chordata, Mammalia, Rodentia, Bathyergidae.
CCCUCCAGGGAAGGUGUCCUGCUUCUGGCUACUAUCCCGUGUCUGGUCAUGGGAACCUUACCCUGUGAGUUUACCAGGAGCCUGACAGCAAGAUCAGUUUCUGCAGUGUGAUGGCCCAAGCACAGACCUGAUCUGGGAACGCAAAACUCCAGUUGCAGGAAACAUCCACAGAGAAUGAGUCUAGGCACCCACCUGUGCACCUGAGCUCCUCCAGCCAAGGGAGGAGCCAGAAGCAGCCACAGCAAGAUAUUGCUGGAUCCCAGCUUUGUUCCUCCGCUGCCCAGGAGUCUCAGGCACAGCUCAGCUGGCAGGAAAGGCCGACUCCUUCCCUGCUUCCCGCUCUGCCUCUGCCAGGCUCUGGGUAGGAGAAAAAAUGCCAGCUCUUUCUUGAGAGGCAGAGUUUCCAUCCCCCAUUUUCACAACCAAUUACACGGAGGCAGAGUCAUCUACAUCUGAGGUGGACCCUGAAAAGUUGGCUUCUUAUUUGAGUUUUUUUAACUGACGCAUAAAAAUUAUACACAUUCUGAUUUCCUUUUGUCUCUGAGUUGAUCUUUUCUGGAGCUACCUAUUUACUUCUCUCCUUGCCUUUGUGGGCAGCUCUGCCCUCUUUUGUCAUCUGUCAGCAAUUCCCAGGUAAAAGAAGUGUGACUGUCCUGGUCUCUGCAAACUGGCCCAAGUCCCUUCUGUAUGAACUCUGUUAGUCGUUAAGAUCCAUGAAAACACUUCUUCCUGUAGCCUCUGAUGCUUCCCAGAAUCCCGAACCCAGGGGAGUCUCCUGUCUCUUCCAAUGGGUCCUCAGGAUGUUAAUUAAAGGUGCACUGAAAUCUGCAACUUUAUGAGUCAGUGUUGUGACUCUAAACCCUCAAGUUCUCU